RNAcentral lists this ribosomal RNA (462 nucleotides) under uncultured bacterium. RNAcentral's name for it is "bacterial SSU rRNA". It matches the Rfam family "Bacterial small subunit ribosomal RNA", at positions 340 to 793 of the family's 1533-position model. The record is from RNAcentral.
UACGGGAGGCAGCAGUGGGGAAUAUUGUCACAAUGGGCGCAAGCCUGAUGCAGCCAUGCCGCGUGUAUGAAGAAGGCCUUCGGGUUGUAAAGUACUUUCAGCAGUGAGGAAGGUGGGUAUGUUAAUAGCAUACUCAUUUGACGUUAGCUGCAGAAGAAGCACCGGCUAACUCCGUGCCAGCAGCCGCGGUAAUACGGAGGGUGCGAGCGUUAAUCGGAAUUACUGGGCGUAAAGCGCAUGCAGGUGGUUUGUUAAGUCAGAUGUGAAAGCCCGGGGCUCAACCUCGGAAUUGCAUUUGAAACUGGCAAACUAGAGUACUGUAGAGGGGGUAGAAUUUCAGGUGUAGCGGUGAAAAUGCGUAGAGAUCUGAAGGAAUACCGGUGGCGAAGGCGGCCCCCUGGACAGAUACUGACACUCAGAUGCGAAAGCGUGGGGAGCAAACAGGAUUAGAUACCCUGGUAG